AGACCACAAAAAAGACUAUAGAUUGCUUUGUUGUCUCGAAAUCACAAAUUAGUUUUGUAUCAUUUUAGACCGUGAUGCCUUAUUACCAACUAGUGUGACAUAAAGUAAAGAAUUGUUUAACAUUAAUAUACGUUUUUAAUCUCCUCCGUGUCUUAACAUAUUUUAUCAUCCAAUAUAAUCACCAAGCUUUCUAAUUAGCUAAACAAACACAUUAGAAAGCUUAACAUCACCAAGCUUUCUAAUUAGCUAAACAAACACAUUAGAAAGCUAAACAAAC
Molecule: long non-coding RNA, 277 nt
Filed under: Amborella trichopoda
Lineage: Eukaryota; Viridiplantae; Streptophyta; Magnoliopsida; Amborellales; Amborellaceae
Description: long non-coding RNA (ATRI_LNC004423)
Source: RNAcentral